Molecule: ribosomal RNA, 499 nt
Filed under: uncultured bacterium
Lineage: Bacteria
Description: partial 16S ribosomal RNA
Rfam family: Bacterial small subunit ribosomal RNA
Source: RNAcentral
GACGAACGCUGGCGGCGUGCCUAAUACAUGCAAGUCGAGCGAAGAGUUUCUGGUGCUUGCCCUAGAAAAACUUAGCGGCGAACGGGUGAGUAACACGUAAAGAACCUGCCUCAUAGACUGGGACAACGAUUGGAAACGAUAGCUAAUACCGGAUGACAGUAUUCCUCGAAUGAGAGAAAUUCAAAAGAUGGUUAUGCUAACACUAUGAGAUGGCUUUGCGGUGCAUUAGCUAGUUGGUGGGGUAAAGGCCCACCAAGCCGACGCUGCAUAGCCGACCUGAGAGGGUGGUCGGCCCCACUAGGACUGAGCCACGGUCCAGACUACUACGGUAGGCAGCAGUGGGGUAUCUUCCACUAUGGGCGGAUGCCUAGCGUAGCAACGCCGCGUGGGUUGAGAAGGAUCUCGGUUCUUAAAUCUAUGCUGUUUGUGAAGAAUGAAAAUGUGGUGUCCGUACAUGUUAGUGACGGUACCUAACCAAUAAGCAACGGCUAACUACGUG